Molecule: ribosomal RNA, 923 nt
Filed under: Nematoda environmental sample
Lineage: Eukaryota; Metazoa; Nematoda
Description: SSU rRNA
Rfam family: Eukaryotic small subunit ribosomal RNA
Source: RNAcentral
CGCGAAUGGCUCAUUACAACAGCCUUAGUUUAUUGGAUCUUAGAGUCCUACUUGGAUAACUGUGGUAAUUCUAGAGCUAAUACACGCAAUUAAUCCUCAACCUUACGGGCGAGGAGCAUUUAUUAGAACAAAACCAAUCGGCUUCGGCCGUAUCUGGUGAAUCUGAAUAACUACGCUGAUCGCAUGGUCUCGUACCGGCGACAUAUCCUUCAAGUGUCUGCCUUAUCAACUGUCGAUGGUAGUUUACACGCCUACCAUGGUUGUAACGGGUAACGGAGAAUAAGGGUUCGACUCCGGAGAGGGAGCCUGAGAAACGGCUACCACAUCCAAGGAAGGCAGCAGGCGCGCAAAUUACCCACUCUCAGAACGAGGAGGUAGUGACGAAAAAUAACGAGACAGUUCUCUAUGAGGUCUGUCAUCGGAAUGGGUACAAUUUAAACCCUUUAACGAGGAUCUAUUGGAGGGCAAGUCUGGUGCCAGCAGCCGCGGUAAUUCCAGCUCCAAUAGCGUAUAUUAAAGUUGUUGCGGUUAAAAAGCUCGUAGUUGGAUCUGCGGUCGUAGACUCUGGUUCCCUCCUAGGGAUACUAGCUGUCUCGACCUACCUUGUUAGAUUUCCCUUGGUGCUCUUUACUGAGUGCCUUGGGUGUCUAGCUCGUUUACUUUGAAAAAAUUAGAGUGCUUAAAGCAGGCAUUUGCCUGAAUAGUGGUGCAUGGAAUAAUGGAAUAGGACCUCGGUUCUAUUUUGUUGGUUUUCGGAGCAUGAGGUAAUGAUUAAGAGGGACAGAUGGGGGCAUUCGUACUGCUACGUUAGAGGUGAAAUUCUUGGAUCGUAGCAUGACGAACAACUGCGAAAGCAUUUGCCAAGAAUGUUUUCAUUAAUCAAGAACGAUAGUUAGAGGUUCGAAGGCGAUCAGAUACCGCCC